Molecule: ribosomal RNA, 697 nt
Filed under: Panagrellus redivivoides
Lineage: Eukaryota; Metazoa; Nematoda; Chromadorea; Rhabditida; Panagrolaimidae
Description: LSU rRNA
Rfam family: Eukaryotic large subunit ribosomal RNA
Source: RNAcentral
UAUAGUACGUGAAACUGGUUAGGUCGAAGCGGAUAGAGCAGUCGAAAGAUGGUAGCAAUGAGUUGAUCGGGUGUUGGCUUCGGUUCAGCACAUCGGUUGAUGCACUUGUUAUUUGUUGCGCUGGCACGGUUGAUGAUGCCGUUGGAAGUGGUUGUAGAGGUGCUGUUCUUCGGAAGGGUAAACCUGCAAUCAUGAAAGACGUGUUGUUGUUAAUCGAUGUUGUUACAACAACGCAACAGUGAGUGUGCUGUAAGUGUGAGUGUUGACUAUGGGUCUUCGCAUGCGAAGGCCUUAGCCAGUGCUUAUGCUUGUAGUAUUAUGAUCUGAGGCGUUUGUCAGUGUACAUUUGUACUGUCACCUAUCCGUCCCGUCUUGAAACACGGACCAAGGAGUUUAUCGUAUGUGCGAGUUAUUGGGUGAUUAAAACCUAAUGGCGUAAUGAAAGUAAAGGUUUUGCUUGCAAAACUGAUAUGUGAUCCGGAUGUCCUUCGGGGCUUCGGCGCAGCAUAGCCCCAUCUCGGUUGCUUGCAACGGGGUGGAGGUAGAGCAUAUGCGAUGAGACCCGAAAGAUGGUGAACUAUGCCCGGGCAGGAUGAAGCCGGAGGAAACUCUGGUGGAAGUCCGUAGCGGUUCUGACGUGCAAAUCGAUCGUCUGACCUGGGUAUAGGGGCGAAAGACUAAUCGAACCAUCUAUAUG